Molecule: long non-coding RNA, 478 nt
Filed under: Rattus norvegicus (Norway rat)
Lineage: Eukaryota; Metazoa; Chordata; Mammalia; Rodentia; Muridae
Description: long non-coding RNA NONRATT032958
Source: RNAcentral
UCUCACAAUGGAAUCUCAUCAAUGGCUUUCACUAACAAUCAUUUUUCAGAGACAAAUUGCUAACUUGCCUUCGUCGUCCUUGAGAUGAUGAAUUCGUCAUUGCUACCCAUUCUAGACAGGGAUCCUUACACUGUUUUGAUUCUGCUUUAUAUAAGUCUAGAUGAGUUGUUCUGUCUGAGUGUUCCGACUCCAGAUUUGUACACCUGAAUUCCCACGGGUUUAUGAACAAGGCAUUGUGGUUCCCUAGUACAUUAUCGAAAGUUUCCUGGUCUUCUCUUGUUAUCUGAAAGAAAUUGAAAAGAUAUACUUUCUUUUAAUUGUGCUAACAAUAAAUGAUAUGUGUUUGAUUCUUCUAGCUAUGGGCAGUAACUCUGAAUGUUUAUGUAUGUGUGUUUGUGUUUGUGUGCAGAAUUGUCAAAGUCAGUCUGGAGGUUAAACCUCUAGGGCUCUAUCUACUCAGCCCCAAACCAUUCUCAUG